RNAcentral lists this ribosomal RNA (478 nucleotides) under uncultured bacterium. Its description in RNAcentral is "partial 16S ribosomal RNA". It matches the Rfam family "Bacterial small subunit ribosomal RNA", at positions 31 to 507 of the family's 1533-position model. The record is from RNAcentral.
GAACGCUGGCGGCGUGCUUAACACAUGCAAGUCGAACGAAACACCUUAUUUGAUUUUCUUCGGAACUGAAGAUUUGGUGAUUGAGUGGCGGACGGGUGAGUAACGCGUGGGUAACCUGCCCUGUACAGGGGGAUAACAGUCAGAAAUGACUGCUAAUACCGCAUAAGACCACAGCACCGCACGGUGCAGGGGUAAAAACUCCGGUGGUACAGGAUGGACCCGCGUCUGAUUAGCUGGUUGGUGAGGUAACGGCUCACCAAGGCGACGAUCAGUAGCCGGCUUGAGAGAGUGAACGGCCACAUUGGGACUGAGACACGGCCCAAACUCCUACGGGAGGCAGCAGUGGGGAAUAUUGCACAAUGGGGGAAACCCUGAUGCAGCGACGCCGCGUGAGUGAAGAAGUAUUUCGGUAUGUAAAGCUCUAUCAGCAGGGAAGAAAAUGACGGUACCUGACUAAGAAGCCCCGGCUAACUACGUG